This is a long non-coding RNA of Heterocephalus glaber (naked mole-rat), 4564 nucleotides long. NCBI's taxonomy places the organism in Eukaryota, Metazoa, Chordata, Mammalia, Rodentia, Bathyergidae. The record is from Ensembl.
UUUAAUACCUAUCUUUGUAAGCACAUUUAUAAACUUUUGACAUGAGAUUUGUAAGUUCCUAACCAGCAUUAAUAUUAUAUUAAGAAAUUUGUAAUAAAAGUGUCUAACAUUUCUUUUCAUAAAAUAUAUAACAGUUUAGAAAAAUAGUGUAUUUUAAGGCAUAUGUGGAGCAAACUGACAUAUUCUUUCAUCUACAAAAGUUGCAAGAAGUUCAUGAGAAACAAAAAGAUUGAGUUGUCAGUAUUCAUAGUGCUUCUCCCUGUUCAUUUAUUACUUUGUGCACCAGCAUAUUCUGGUAAAUGCUUAAUAACUGGUUCUCCCAAAAGAAAUGCCCCAAGUGUGGAAUCUAUUAACUUCUUUAGUGCAAAUACCCCCAUAAUGGUCAAUUCCAGGGCCGCGUAACACUGAGUAGCAGAGGCAUGCACUAAUCAGAUCUCAUUAGGUCCUAAGGACUGACUGGAGCAUUUGCUGCCUGUAAACAGGAGACAAAGGAUUGUUAGGGGCAUCAUAACUGUUUGAGAGUGUUGACAUCUUACAAAGAUGAGGGGAAAGUCAGAGGUUGGGGCUGGUGAGGCUUCUCAGUGAUUUUUCAUGGAGAUUUUGCUGGUUUCUGAGUGAUGAUGUGGGCUUUAAAAAUAUAUGGACCAUUUGAUUUUCAGAUACCUAGGCAAUCAAGGUGACAUUUGUGUUAUCCUGCUUUUAGUGUGUCAGGUAGGAAAAAAAUUGUCAGUUGGGAAAUAAUGCUGUUUUUUAUUCCUUAGCAUUUAGAGUUUAAAUAUAAUGACUUUAGUAAUAAUCCCACUAAUAACUAUAUGUGUCUUGGUAAGAUAUCCUAUUUUUUCCACAGUAUUGACCAUUUAAUCAUUGAAGGUGUUAUGUGAAGAGAAUAUGAUGACUCUGAGAAUGUUGCUGGUACUGAAGUUUUGAUGGGAUCCAAAGAGUGUUAACAGUUCCCUAAUGAUGAAAGUGGACCAAGGUUAUUUGUUGGUAUCUUGAUAGAACAGACUGUGUCCUUAAAUGUAUUUAUCACAUGGAUCUACUUAGGUUCCAGUCAAGACAUCACUGUGUACAUACAUGUUUAUUAAUGGAGCUUUCCAGGUAUCCAGGCAAGUGAUAAGGAAGGAUAGAUAACACCCUUGACUAACACUGAGAAACCAUGAAAUUAGAACUGUGACACUGGAACUUGUGUUCUCAAGUCUUUUGCUCUCCCAUCAAGCUCUUUCCAAGUGCAUGGAGAUGAGCUGCUGUUACAUUUCUCAUUAAAGAUGUUGUUUCCAGACAUCAAGGUAUAGACAUGCAAUAAGAUGUGCACCAAACACUGGGAUUUUUAGAUUUCUGUCAAGACCUUAUAGUAACCCUUUCAACUGUUGGUCAGCACACCAUGUAGAUACGGUGGUAAGUCUCAUGAUGACCAACAGUGGCAGUUUGUUGUAUCCAUGGCCAUGAUGAUCAAGAGGGAUAUUGUAGCCAGCCAAGAGAAAAUGGUGUGAAGAACAACAUCUCUGACCUUGAAGUUCUAAAGAUCUAAGUACUUCAGUUGGUUUCCCUGAUGAUGGAGGUGACCAAAAUUUUAAAGUUGUCCUUUUUUUCUCCCCUCAGGUGAAAGAUGAUGCGUCCUAAACACACAUCUCAAAGUGUUGUCUAAGAUUCCAACAGUUAUUAAAUUAUAGUGAUUGAACUUAAGAAUGGUAAUUUAUGAAAUGUUAUGACUAACCUGGUAAGUAAGAAAUUGUCCCUACCAAGAUGCCAACAAAUAACCUUCAGAUUUCUUGGUAAAGUGGAUGGGAUAUCUAACACAAUGUUACCCUGGCUUUUUGGCAGGUAUUCCAUUAAGUUUUAUCCUAGUGUACAGGUUUGUUGACUUUAAAUCAUUAGAGGCAUUUCUUAUUUUUUGGUAUUUAUAUCAUGAAUGAUGCUUUUGAACUCCUGUGGUAACCUCUGCUUAGAACACAGUUCAAAAUAUGAUUUGUCAGUAAUGCUUUUUGUAAAUAUGAGAUUGUACUAUGGACUUAUUUAGAGAUUGUGAUAGGUUAUUGUAUAGGGAUGCAGGUCAUUGACCAUAUUUCCUAUCCCCUAGUAUUGACCAUGGGAAUUUUGCUAGUGUUUCUUCCAAACAAGAUGGUAUUUCUUAGUAGGCUUUUACCUCAGUGUUCAGCUUUAGCCAUGUAAUUGUGAUAAGAAUAUGAUUUGUCAUGUUGAAAGCCAUGACCAAGGGAAUGUGUCAAUGUCUUCCUUGAAUGACAUAGGUUCCAAAAUCAUUUUUCAUGAUUUGAUUUUCAAGUUCCUCUGAAGACACUGUGGUUAUCCUACCCAUGGGAGUGAGUCAAGUCCAUAGAGGGUUAUGAGGUAAGUGCUGAGGUACCCUAAACCAGGUCUUCAUCUAUAGAGGAAAGGGAUGAGGGUGUCCUGACUAUUACUAGAUUUAGUGGUCACUGCUCCUAUAAGAAAUAAUUUUGUCCUUCACAGUUCUAGUAAAUAUGAGUUUAUCCUUUAUAUGCCAUAGGGAAAAUUGGUGUUUUAGCAAGGACUGCUGAGGGAGUGAUUAUGAACUGGUUAAUUGAAAUCAUUGUGGAACUCUAUGACUGCGGUAAGCAUAGGUUAAUUUCCAGGGUGUGGAGAUGACAAAAUAUGGGCUCUCUGACAAUACUGUUUUUGUUUGGCGAAUCCAAGUAUCCUGAGGAGUUCGGCCGUCCUUUAGCAAUGGGCAUUAAAAAGGGAGUGGGCUCAUGUUCUGACACAGCACCUUCUAUGCCAAACUGGCUUUGUAUGUUUUUCAGAUGCCCUUCAAGAGAACACAGUGAUCCAGAAAAGAUGGUUGUUGCAGUCACCCUAGUAACAAGGUAAAUGAUAAAAUGGUCAUAGUCCAGUGAAGGCUGUUUGAUCUUCUAUAAUCCUGGCAAGUUCCUAACUAGGUGCUCAGAUGUUAAGGUCUUGGCUAGUGUAUUGGUCUGGGAUGAUAGUCACUCACUAGUGACAUCUCAUUUUCAGCAAUUCAUUUUAUGACUGUGUUAGGUUUUAUUAUAUUCCCCCACUUCUGGUGAUACAUGUUUUCAAAACAUAUUAUCACCUUAAUAUUACAAGGAUACAUCAAAUGUCAUUGCAUCUUUUCUGGAAUGUAAUAGAUGUAAUAUGCUUGUAUUGCUACUGGUGGAGAAGAGAUUCAUGUAAUUUUCACUGAGUCCAUCUCUGAAAUAUUGUCCUUGGAAGGUUUGCAUGUAUCACUGAAGACAGACAACACUCUCUUACAAGGCUUUAUCCAUGGAAGCCUCCAAGUAUCUAGAUAACAUAAGUGGAUGCUGAAACGAUGAAGUGACAUAGGGGAUUUGGAGUUGUAUAAGUGCAAAUGAGACAUAUACCAAAUCAGAAGUCUAUGACAAGAGUCCAUAGAUGGGUGAAUACAUCACAGCAAGCAAAAUAAGUUUGUAAAGUAGAACACUACUGAUCCCUCUAUAAGUGCUAAUGUGGGCAUUCACCACAUCACAGGAAAUCAGAUCUUCAUAUACAGGGAUGAGUGAUGAGGAUGUCCUUGACACUUGUUACUGAGGUUUUGUUACAAGUACUAAUGGAUGAAAUGAGAGACAUGAUGAAAAUAUCUAGUGAAUGCAAUACUGCAUUUUGUAUGAGACAGAAAUGAAUAUUGAACCUGUACAAUUUCAGGGAUCCAUCGCAUCAUGGUUGGAUGUAGACAUGGUGGUGUUACAACACAACAGUAAACAUUGAAAAAUUUACAGAUGGCUCUAUUACACAUUUGGACAUGCCAGAGAAUACAAUUUACAUAGAAUUAAGGACUCUAUUAACACAUAGCUGAAGGAUGCCUUUCUGUUUCUGGGUGAGGGGCAGAAAGAGUCAGUGACAUGGAAGAGCAAGAUGAGAGCUAAAUGACAGUUUUCUGUAGGUGCUUUCAAGUUAAUGGAAGUGAUCACUUGAAUGAGUGUGUUGAAAAAACCUUGAACAAACCAAGGAAAAACAAAAGUAUAAAUUACAGCCCAUUGGCACCCAUCCAAUCUUCAAUAUCCAGGUGGCUAGCAUAAGGGUAAUAGCCCAAUGAGAUGUUGUCAUGUACUGGAUUCUUAUGCUGGGAAGGUCACUGUGACUGUCGAGUUCUGAGCUGACCCCACAUUCACACAUCAGAGACCUUAUUUUCAGAUGUGAUUUUCAUUGUUGAUAGUGAAACUCUGAGGUAGUCUCCUUUAUUUGGCAAGUGUGAGGUUAAGGGCCUCAUUCCUAUCAGGGUGUAGAAUCAGGUGCUACUGAAUCCAGGCCGAAAGUGUGCCUUUAAACUGGCCAUUGUAAAGGGGAACAAAAGAGGGAGGGGAGGGGGAGAGGAAAGAAGAAAGAAAGAAAAGAAAAUAGAAGAAAAAAUGGAAACAAAGCUUUUGUAAAUAAAGGAGAAGGAGAGAGGUAGAGGGAGGGGAGGAGAAUGGGAAAAAAAGAAGAAGAAAGAUACAUCAUGAACAGGUACAAAUUCCCUGUGAUGAAUGCUAUCGUUAUGUUUACCUGAAAUGUACUAAUAAAGUUUUUGCUUCAAAAAAAAAGAACAACAACAACAACAACAACAAACUAG